GCAGGCUGCAACUCGCCUGCAUGAAGUCGGAAUUGCUAGUAAUCGCGGAUCAGCAUGCCGCGGUGAAUAACGUUCCCGGGCCCUUGUACACACCGCCCGUCACACCAUGAGAGCCGGUAACACCCGAAGUCAAUAGUCUAACCGCAAGGAGGACAUUGCCGAAGGUGGGAUUGGUAAUUGGGGUGAAGUCGUAACAAGGUAAC
RNAcentral lists this ribosomal RNA (203 nucleotides) under uncultured bacterium. RNAcentral describes it as "partial 16S ribosomal RNA". It matches the Rfam family "Bacterial small subunit ribosomal RNA", at positions 1300 to 1500 of the family's 1533-position model. The record is from RNAcentral.